This 495-nucleotide ribosomal RNA is filed under the name uncultured soil bacterium. RNAcentral's name for it is "bacterial SSU rRNA". It matches the Rfam family "Bacterial small subunit ribosomal RNA", at positions 26 to 519 of the family's 1533-position model. The record is from RNAcentral.
AGAUUGAACGCUGGCGGCAGGCCUAACACAUGCAAGUCGAGCGGUAGAGAGGUGCUUGCAUCUCUUGAGAGCGGCGGACGGGUGAGUAAUGCCUAGGAAUCUGCCUAGUGGUGGGGGAUAACGUUCGGAAACGGACGCUAAUACCGCAUACGUCCUACGGGAGAAAGCGGGGGACCUUCGGGCCUCGCGCCAUUAGAUGAGCCUAGGUCGGAUUAGCUAGUUGGUGAGGUAAUGGCUCACCAAGGCGACGAUCCGUAACUGGUCUGAGAGGAUGAUCAGUCACACUGGAACUGAGACACGGUCCAGACUCCUACGGGAGGCAGCAGUGGGAAUAUUGGACAAUGGGCGAAAGCCUGAUCCAGCCAUGCCGCGUGUGUGAAGAAGGUCUUCGGAUUGUAAAGCACUUUAAGUUGGAGGAAGGUUGUAACUUAAUACGUUGCAACUUUGACGUUACGACAGAAUAAGCACCGGCUAACGUUCGUGCCAGCAGCCGUA